UUGAAAGGGAAACGAUUGAAGUCAGUCGUGCUGGCAUGAAAUCAACUACCGCACGCUUGAAAGUGUUGGCGGGUGAGCCUAAAAACCAUCGCAUCGACAUUUUCGGGCGUGCAGUGGUGCACUUUUGUGUCGGCUGGUUAGCAUCAAUUUCGACUGUCAUAAAAAGGCUGGAGGGAUGUGGCUCCUUCGGGAGUGUUAUAACCUUUAGCGGAAUGUGGUGGUUGAGAUUGAGGUUUGCAGCGGAUAUUUCUUCUACCUGGCCUCUUGUUGGUGUCUUGGUAGCGACAGCGUGCUGACGUUAUUAGGAUCAGCCGGCGAAAAGGUUAGAGUGGAAGAUUCGUUAAGGAUGUUGACGUA
RNAcentral lists this ribosomal RNA (357 nucleotides) under uncultured Glomeromycotina. Its description in RNAcentral is "LSU rRNA". The record is from RNAcentral. Lineage: Eukaryota; Fungi; Glomeromycota.